Molecule: unclassified non-coding RNA, 625 nt
Filed under: Hevea brasiliensis (rubber tree)
Lineage: Eukaryota; Viridiplantae; Streptophyta; Magnoliopsida; Malpighiales; Euphorbiaceae
Source: RNAcentral
GAAAAUCUAGCCAACUUAUGUAUGAGCUACUGUACAUAGACCACACCGAGGGUCAACGAGUAGUUGAAGAUCAAUUGCCACUCCGUGUAGCAGAGAUAUCCACAAAUAUUAUUUUAAAGUUACUUGAAUUCAAUGAAGACUUAUAAAAGGAAGAAGAAUUUUUUUUCAGUUUUUGAGUACUCCAAACUCAAUACUGCAGGUUGUCUCUUGACGAACUAGUACCAUAGGUCAUCGGAAGAAAACAUCUGAUUUCAUCUUGCAGCGUCCUCCAUAUCAGGGGACCGUAACCGAUAUCAAAGGUUGUUUCUCAGACAGUAGCUUAUUGUUUCUUAGCAUGCCUUUUAUAGAAAGCAUUUAGUCUCUGGAAGCCAUCUUCCAGAUAUGAUGGCUCACAUGCAAAGGUUAUCCUGAGCCAAUUCUUGAGUCCUACAGCAACACCUGGUAAAAUUAUCAGAGAUUCUUCCUUAGCCAGCUUCGCGCAAAAGUCCAGGUCAUCUUCAAUGUCUUCUAAGAGAUUCAAAUGAAGUUGAACCAUCAAAAACAUAGAUCCUUGAGGUUUACUUGGACAAGUGAUGCAAGGAAUAUACUUGAUUCUCUCAUAACAAAUAUCUGCAUCUUCUCUUAG